This is an RNA transcript of Xyrauchen texanus (razorback sucker), 2085 nucleotides long. It is a transcript of the gene named fibulin-7-like, with no coding region annotated. Lineage: Eukaryota; Metazoa; Chordata; Actinopteri; Cypriniformes; Catostomidae. The record is from RefSeq and is a predicted model, not a curated record. The transcript is spliced from 8 exons.
AGCACUCAGAAGUGAUCUAUAAACAUUUUGCCUAAAGUGAAUAUAACUAAACGUCGAUGAUAAAUAGGAAUAGACAUUUUCUUUUUCAUAUUCGCAGAUGAUUGGAUAGUUUUUCUUAAUUAUAUAAGGAUGAAGAAGGUAGUAGUUUUUUUCAUGAUCAUUUUUACAAGCCAACUCUUCACAUCUCAUGGGCAAGACUGUCAGAGUGGGCAGGAAGUGCAAAACACUCUUCGUCAGGUCCAGAAGCUUCUCUCCACCCAAGAAACCUCAUUCCUACAGAGUCUACGAACCCUCCGCAAGAAACUCAGCCUGUUACAGAACAGCACAGUGAAAUACAACAAAAUCAACACAGGCAAGAGCAGCACAGGCUGCCCUCCUCCAGAGUCUGUGGCUAAUGGGCGGAUCCUUGGGCAUGUAUUUAAGGUGGGCCAUGAGGUCCACUUCCUGUGUAGCCCUGGGUUUCAGCUGAUUGGCUCAGAAACCAGUGUCUGUCUGGAUACCCAAAGCUGGAGUGGAACACAACCAUCCUGCAAGUUUAUGGACACCACUGUAAACAAUGAUGCCUCUGCUACUACAUCAGCAUACUCUUCCUCAUCUUCCUAUCGUGCUCCUGCGUCCAUCUCCACAUACGUGCGACCGUCCCGCUGCAUUGAGUUUCUAGGCUCCAUCCACUGCACAUGUGAACAAGGCUACAGCAUCUCCAGCCAGGACAGCACUCUGUGCACAGACAUUGAUGAAUGUGAACUCUUCCGUCUAACUCAGCCUGGCCGUCUGUGUUUGCAUACCUGUGUGAAUACGGCUGGAAGUUUCCACUGUCAGUGUCCUGCGGGUUACAGCCUUGGCCGAGACAGCAGGACCUGCCAAGACAUUGACGAGUGUGCGAGAGGGACCCAUAACUGCACUAGUGAGCAGGUGUGUGUGAAUACAUACGGCGGUCAUCGCUGUGUGGAUGUUCAGUGCCCUCACUUCCGCAACGCCACCUACAUCAAAACCUCACCGCUGCGUUGUGAUCGUAACCCUUGCCUCCAAGACAACAAAGUCUGCCUGCAGGCUCCAGUCUCCAUUAACUUCCACUUCAUGUCUUUGGUGUCCAACAUGUCGACACCUACCAUCCUCUUUCGGCUGUCUGCAACUCGCAUCCUGGGCGACACGCUGCGGUUCGGUCUGUUGGGUAACUGGGGAGUCAAGCACUUCACCGUCCAGCGGUCGGACAGAAAGACGGGCCAACUGGUGCUGUUGAACUCCGUACAGGGCCCUGCUACGUUGGAGGCUGAUAUAGAAAUGAGCGAGCUGGAGAGGAGGGUGCUGCUCGGGCGUUAUAUCACAAAAGUCACUCUCUUUGUGUCCCCGUAUAACUUUUGAGAGAGGAAGACAGACGAUGGACUGACAACACGGUGAAAUAAUUUACAGGUGAGAUAUUGGCGGCCGGGCCUGCGGAGGUGAGAUAGGAGUGCUAUUAUACUCAUUUCUGAGGUGCCAAUUUAAGAGGACUAAAUCGUUUUUUGUUGCACGGGCAGAGAAAUGAUAUUUCCUCAGAAUAAGAAAAUAAAAUCAUGAUUUUCUAUUUCUACCAAAGUAUUUAUGCAGUGUUGUUGCUAUUUUUAAUACACUGCCUGGCCAAAAAAAGUUGCAGUUUGGAUUUAAAUAAGCAGAUACCUAUGAUUGGAUCAUUAUUGCAGUGAUUAAUAUGUUUCAGCUGGCAACAAUUUUUUUAAUCCUAACUGAUGCAGUGUGUAGCUUCUCAUUCCUUAAAGAUCCAUGUCGGAAUAUAUAUCAUGGUCAUGGAAAUGAUGUUACUGUGUUUCAGAAGAGGCAAAUUAUUGGCCUGCUUUGUGUUAUGAUCUGGGGUUGAAUCAAUUGGUCAGGUCUAGGCUCAAGAACGUUAUACAGCAAUAAAAUGAAGUCAGCUGACUAUCUGAAUGUACUGAAUGAACAGGUUAUCCCAUCAGUGGAUUUUUUUCUUCCCUGACGACACAGGCAUAUUCCAGGAUGACAAUGUCAAGAUUCAUCAAUCUCAAAUUGUGAAAGAGUGGUUCAGGGAGCACGAGGAAUCAUUUUCACACAUGAAUUGGCCACUACAGAGUC